This 92-nucleotide non-coding RNA is filed under the name Nitrospirota bacterium. Its description in RNAcentral is "Nitrospirae bacterium c-di-GMP sequence". It matches the Rfam family "c-di-GMP-I riboswitch aptamer". From Rfam's summary of the family: GEMM was predicted in a large-scale screen for bacterial structured RNA regulatory elements. Lineage: Bacteria; Pseudomonadati; Nitrospirota. The record is from RNAcentral.
CGCUGCUCAGAGCAAAGCCGCCGAAAGGCGGUGACGCAGAGCUUUAGGGGACUACCGCGACCCAAGGUCGCCACGUCAGCCCGGCCGCCAGC